AGUUUUCCAAAUGGUUGAACUUGGUUGUCAAUGUGAUGUCCCUUAAGCCCAGACAAAGAUAAUGUUAUUUACUAACCAGCCUCUUCCUCUCCGGCUCAGAUUAAAAAAUAAAUAAAAUCACAUUAGAGAUUUAGCCAAAUUAGGCAGUCAUAAAACAAGAAUCUUAUGGAAUUGAUUGAUAGGGAAAUAUUGACCAUCUAGUAGCCCACUGUAAAAUGAGCACUAAAACAACUAUCAUACAUUCAUACAUUCGCUAGCUAUAAAUCAAGGCCUACUCACAAUUACAGUAUGACUAUCUGUACACAAGAUUAUGUAUCUAAUAUAUAUGAAAAAAUAAAAUAAUUUGAUAGCUAUAUGUUGAUUUAAAGGAAAUUAUGGAAAGCUAGAUUGUGGCAUAAAUAGUAGCCAAUGCCGUAGUAUUGGUAUAGUCUUUGUAGCGUAUCUAUUUGACAUCAAUGGGUCAACUCAGGUUAGCUAUCAAAUCUCAUUGUUAUUAAAAUUAUAAACUAAACUGUACAAACAAUUGUCACUACCUAGUAUUUUAAGAAACAUUAUUUUACGAUGUUUAUACUAUUAGUAAAUACUGUAUUCCUUAUGAUGUAUUUUGGAAACUUUUUAAAACAUGCAUUUAAACAGACAUUCCUGAGGUCCUACAAAGCAGCAGCAAUCUGCGACGGAGGUGAGAAUGGUGCAAGUGAUAAACAAGUUAAUUGGGGCAAAAUACAUUGCCAUCGCGUGUUGGCGGAGUUGCCCUUGUCCACUUCACAGAUUGGAGGCUGAUCCUGGAUUGUGUCCCCUACAUCAACGGCAAGUUCAAGGACAACUAGAGUCACCUCUGGCUCAGAAUUGACUACAACUUGGGGAAGGGCAUGGGUGGAAUGCUUGCUCUUUCUGCGUUGCGAAGGAGUUUUCCCAAAGGGAUGUCAUGUUAGAUUGAAUGCUGUUUUGUUCCAAUGUUAUUUA
Salvelinus sp. IW2-2015 is the source of this 963-nucleotide non-coding RNA. NCBI's taxonomy places the organism in Eukaryota, Metazoa, Chordata, Actinopteri, Salmoniformes, Salmonidae. The record is from RefSeq and is a predicted model, not a curated record.